AAUAGGGUGUCUGAAUUAGGUAAUAAAUUGUAAAUUUAUUUAAGGAAUUUUCCUCCUAUUA
This 61-nucleotide transfer RNA is filed under the name Saccharosydne procerus. RNAcentral's name for it is "tRNA-Tyr". The record is from RNAcentral. Lineage: Eukaryota; Metazoa; Arthropoda; Insecta; Hemiptera; Delphacidae.